CAGCGCCCCGAGUGGCAAUCGCGUUUAUUGGGCCUAAAGCGUCCGUAGCCGGACUGAUAAAUCCGCUGUGAAAUGGUUGCGCUUAACGUAACCGCAUGCAGUGGACACUGUUAGUCUCGAGACCGGGAGGAGUUAGAGGUAUGCCUUGGGGACUGGUAAAAUGGUAUAAUCCAAGGUAGACCACCGAUGGCGAAGGCAUCUGACUAGAACGGAUCCGACUGUGAGGGACGAAAGCCAGGGGAGCGAACCGGAUUAGAUACCCGAGUAGUCC
Molecule: ribosomal RNA, 271 nt
Filed under: uncultured archaeon
Lineage: Archaea
Description: partial 16S ribosomal RNA
Rfam family: Archaeal small subunit ribosomal RNA
Source: RNAcentral